This 74-nucleotide transfer RNA is filed under the name Streptomyces manipurensis. Its description in RNAcentral is "tRNA-Asp". It matches the Rfam family "tRNA". Rfam says of the family: Transfer RNA (tRNA) molecules are approximately 80 nucleotides in length. Their secondary structure includes four short double-helical elements and three loops (D, anti-codon, and T loops). RNAcentral also lists the same sequence under 7 other names. The record is from RNAcentral. Lineage: Bacteria; Bacillati; Actinomycetota; Actinomycetes; Kitasatosporales; Streptomycetaceae.
GGGGCGGUAGCGCAGUGGUCGACGCGCCCUCUUGUCAGGAGGGGAUGACGCCGGUUCGAAUCCGGUCCGCCUCC